This 957-nucleotide long non-coding RNA is filed under the name Capsella rubella. Its description in RNAcentral is "long non-coding RNA (CRUB_LNC000363)". Lineage: Eukaryota; Viridiplantae; Streptophyta; Magnoliopsida; Brassicales; Brassicaceae. The record is from RNAcentral.
UCUUUCUUCUAACAUCUAAACAUUCGUCAUGCAUCUCUAGCACUUGUAAUCAAUCACAUUCAUUGUAUUAUAACAUAUUCUAAACCAAAAUAACUUUAUACAAGCCAUUCACUGCCUCAAAGGAAUGGUUUUGGGUUCUUAUCCCUUUUGGGACCAAAUAUCCACAAGUCUUUCUUCUCACUUCUAAACAUUCUUCAUGCAUCUCCAGCACUUUUAAUCAAUCAAAUUCAUUGUAUUAUAACAUAUUCUAACCCAAAAUAACUUUAUACAAGCCAUUCACUGCCUCAAAGCAAUGGUUUUGGGUUCUUAUCCAAUUUGGGACCAAAUAUCGAUAGGUCUUUCUUCUAACUUCUAAACAUUUUUUAUGCAUCUCUAGCACUUGUAAUCAAUUACAUUCAUUGUAUUAUAAAAUAUUCUAAACCAAAAUAACUUUAUACAAGCCAUUCACUGCCUCAAAGCAAUGGUUUUGGGUUCUUAUCCCAUUUGAGACCAAAUUUCAACAAGUCUUUCUUCUCACUUCUAAACAUUCUUCAUGCAUGUCUAGCACUUGUAAUCAAUCAAUUUCAUUGUAUUAUAACAUAUUCUAACCCAAAAUAACUUUAUACAAGCCAUUCACUGCCUCAAAGCAAUGGUUUUGGGUUCUUAUCCAAUUUGGGACCAAAUAUCGAUAGGUCUUUCUUCUCACUUCUAAACAUUCUUCAUGCAUCUCUAGCACUAGUAAUCAAUCAAAUUCAUUGUAUUAUAACAUAUUCUAACCCAAAAUAACUUUAUACAAGCCAUUCACUGCCUCAAAGCAAUGGUUUUGGGUUCUUAUCCCAUUUGAGACAAAAUUUCAACAAGUCUUUCUUCUCACUUCUAAACAUUCUUCAUGCAUCUCUAGCACUUGUAAUCAAUCAAAUUCAUUGUAUUAUAACAUAUUAUAACCCAAAAUAAUUUUAUCCAAUCCAUUCUUUGCCU